AGGAGCUUCAGGGCGAGGUCGUACUGUUCCAGCGCCGCCGUGUAGUCCUUCGCCUGGAAGCGGCGGUUGCCCUCCUCUUUGAGCUCGUGGGCACGUUUCAGGAAGACGGAGGAAUCCAAAUCCAGGCCGUUCGGGGAAGGAGCGGCGGCGGCGGAGGGUGGGGGCGACUUAGCUGCGACGGCUGGGGCUUGGGCUUGCGGGUGGGCGUCCGCGGCGGUGCUGUUGCCGGGGCUGGCGGCGUUCUUCUUCCGCCUGCUCCCGGAUUUCCCCAUUGCCGCCGCUCCUCGCUCGAGAUUUCCGGCUCCGCUGCUGCUCCUCUCCCCUUCCUCCGCCGCCGCCGCUGGGGAGCAGAUGAAGGGGGGCUAUCGUGGCAGCUGACGCUGACGGAUUGGAUAGCUCCCGCGGGCCGAGAGCG
This 415-nucleotide long non-coding RNA is filed under the name Spirodela polyrhiza (greater duckweed). Its description in RNAcentral is "long non-coding RNA (SPOL_LNC002225)". The record is from RNAcentral. Lineage: Eukaryota; Viridiplantae; Streptophyta; Magnoliopsida; Alismatales; Araceae.